GACGAACGCUGGCGGCACGCCUAACACAUGCAAGUCGAACGGAGAACCUUCGGGUUCUUAGUGGCGGACGGGUGAGUAACACGUGAGCAACCUGCCUCUCAGAGGGGGAUAACGUUUGGAAACGAACGCUAAUACCGCAUAACGUAUUUUGAUCACAUGGUCUUAAUACCAAAGGAGCAGUCCGCUGAGAGAUGGGCUCGCGUCCGAUUAGAUAGUUGGCGGGGUAACGGCCCACCAAGUCGACGAUCGGUAGCCGGACUGAGAGGUUGAACGGCCACAUUGGGACUGAGACACGGCCCAGACUCCUACGGGAGGCAGCAGUGGGGGAUAUUGGCACAAUGGGGGAAACCCUGAUGCAGCGAUGCCGCGUGAAUGAUGACGGUCUUCGGAUUGUAAAGUUCUGUCGUUAGGGACGAGUAAAUGAACGGUACCUAACAAGAAAAGCUCCGGCUAACUACGUG
RNAcentral lists this ribosomal RNA (461 nucleotides) under uncultured bacterium. RNAcentral's name for it is "bacterial SSU rRNA". It matches the Rfam family "Bacterial small subunit ribosomal RNA", at positions 28 to 507 of the family's 1533-position model. The record is from RNAcentral.